GGGGAAUAUUGCGCAAUGGGGGCAACCCUGACGCAGCCAUGCCGCGUGAAUGAAGAAGGCCUUCGGGUUGUAAAGUUCUUUCGGUAGCGAGGAAGGCAUUUAGUUUAAUAGACUAGGUGAUUGACGUUAACUACAGAAGAAGCACCGGCUAACUCCGUGCCAGCAGCCGCGGUAAUACGGAGGGUGCGAGCGUUAAUCGGAAUAACUGGGCGUAAAGGGCACGCAGGCGGUGACUUAAGUGAGGUGUGAAAGCCCCGGGCUUAACCUGGGAAUUGCAUUUCAUACUGGGUCGCUAGAGUACUUUAGGGAGGGGUAGAAUUCCACGUGUAGCGGUGAAAUGCGUAGAGAUGUGGAGGAAUACCGAAAGCGAAGGCAGCCCCUUGGGAAUGUACUGACGCUCAUGUGCGAAAGCGUGGGGAGCAAACAGGAUUAGAUACCCUGGUAGUCCACGCUGUAAACGAUGUCGAUUUGGGGGUUGAACUUUAAGUUUGGCGCCCGUAGCUAACGUGAUAAAUCGACCGCCUGGGGAGUACGGCCGCAAGGUUA
This 546-nucleotide ribosomal RNA is filed under the name uncultured bacterium. RNAcentral describes it as "bacterial SSU rRNA". It matches the Rfam family "Bacterial small subunit ribosomal RNA", at positions 356 to 896 of the family's 1533-position model. The record is from RNAcentral.